RNAcentral lists this transfer RNA (68 nucleotides) under Mileewa sharpa. RNAcentral describes it as "tRNA-Leu". Lineage: Eukaryota; Metazoa; Arthropoda; Insecta; Hemiptera; Cicadellidae. The record is from RNAcentral.
AUUGAAUUGGCAGAAAAUAAGUGCGUUAAAUUUAGAAUUUAAUAAUACAAUAAAUAUUGUAUUCAAUA